RNAcentral lists this ribosomal RNA (301 nucleotides) under uncultured bacterium. RNAcentral describes it as "partial 16S ribosomal RNA". It matches the Rfam family "Bacterial small subunit ribosomal RNA", at positions 509 to 807 of the family's 1533-position model. The record is from RNAcentral.
CAGCAGCCGCGGGAAUACGGAGGGUGCAAGCGUUAAUCGGAAUUACUGGGCGUAAAGCGCACGCAGGCGGUCUGUCAAGUCGGAUGUGAAAUCCCCGGGCUCAACCUGGGAACUGCAUUCGAAACUGGCAGGCUAGAGUCUUGUAGAGGGGGGUAGAAUUCCAGGUGUAGCGGUGAAAUGCGUAGAGAUCUGGAGGAAUACCGGUGGCGAAGGCGGCCCCCUGGUCAAAGACUGACGCUCAGGUGCGAAAGCGUGGGGAGCAAACAGGAUUAGAUACCCGUGUAGUCCCUGUCUCUUAUAC